Non-coding RNA from Vicia faba (fava bean), 192 nucleotides. The record is from the annotation of a GenBank genome assembly. Lineage: Eukaryota; Viridiplantae; Streptophyta; Magnoliopsida; Fabales; Fabaceae.
AUGAAAACCCUUCAAAAGUUGUUUAUUUUUAGAAAUCACAGAUUCAUAUUACAGAGAAAGAAGAUACAAGAAUCAGAAAGAUCUCACCCGGAAGCGACCGAACACCACCGUGGAACGACCUCUAUUUCGUUGAAAAACACCGUCAAUCUCUCUCUUCCGCCGUCCUUCUCCUUUCUCGCUCUAGAAGGUUGA